This 71-nucleotide transfer RNA is filed under the name bacterium. RNAcentral describes it as "tRNA-Trp". It matches the Rfam family "tRNA". Rfam says of the family: Transfer RNA (tRNA) molecules are approximately 80 nucleotides in length. Their secondary structure includes four short double-helical elements and three loops (D, anti-codon, and T loops). The record is from RNAcentral.
AGGUCUGUAGGUUAACGGUAGACCAAGGGUCUCCAAAACCCUGAGUAGAGGUUCGAUUCCUCUCAGACCUG